This 490-nucleotide ribosomal RNA is filed under the name uncultured bacterium. RNAcentral describes it as "bacterial SSU rRNA". It matches the Rfam family "Bacterial small subunit ribosomal RNA", at positions 28 to 530 of the family's 1533-position model. The record is from RNAcentral.
GACGAACGCUGGCGGCGUGCCUAACACAUGCAAGUCGAACGGAGAUACGAUUUCGGUUGUAUCUUAGUGGCGAACGGGUGAGUAACGCGUGAGCAACCUGACUCUUAGAGGGGGAUAACAUUCGGAAACGGGUGCUAAUACCGCAUAAGACCACGACAUGGCAUCAUGACGAGGUCAAAGGAGCAAUCCGCUGAGAGAGGGGCUCGCGUCCCAUUAGAUAGAUGGCGGGGUAAUGGCCCACCAUGUCAGCGAUGGGUAGCCGAGCUGAGAGGCUGAUCGGCCACACUGGAACUGAGACACGGUCCAGACUCCUACGGGAGGCAGCAGUGGGGAAUAUUGGGCAAUGGGCGCAAGCCUGACCCAGCAACGCCGCGUGAGGGAAGAAGGCCUUCGGGUUGUAAACCUCUGUCCUUGGUGACGAAACAAAUGACGGUAGCCAAGGAGGAAGCCCCGGCUAACUACGUCGCCAGCAGCCGCGGUAAUCUAGUCU